CCGCUCCCUCCCCUCCCACACGCCCGCCGCCCCACCCUCUCCACCUCCCCUUCUCCCCCUACCCCCAGUAGCACCCAGGCCCAACAACACAUGCGGCGGCCAGAUCCAAGAUCCAGCACGCCGGCCUGUGCCUCACCGGAGGCGCACACGCAGAGUGAGGUGGGCUGCCCGCGUGCACACGCCAUGGACCUCCGUCACGGGCCGCCAACGCGUCUCGUCUGCCCAGCCGCGUCACCAGACGGUUGCCUGCCUGCUCCCUGCCGACGCCAUCCCGUGCUCGGGACGCCGCGCCUACCACGCCCCGAUGUCCCUCCUCCCUCUCCCCUGCGUCGGCCCCGUCGUCCGUCCCCGAGAUGGAGAGGGUGCUCAAGGAUGAUGCCAUCCAGGAGAAGGGCGAACGCGCCAGGGUGGUGGCGGGCUUAUACGGCAUUGCGAGCAGGAAGGCCAUGAGGGGUUUGCUGCUCUUCUCCUAGGGCGACCAAGAGGUCCUGCCCCGAGCUCAAGCACGUCCACGCCGACCCACCACGACAACGAAGUGCGGCUGGACGACCGAGGCUGCUAUUCUGCCUUGAUCUGCACACAAAGAGUUCCUAGACCUGACUUGAAGCAAGGAUACCUGCGGCUGCAAGCCAACAAUAUCUGAAGACGGGUGCUGCUUGUCUAUGUUCUCAGCAUAACUAUAGGCUGCCAUGUCUUUUCCACUUUCCUUUUCGCUUUCUGUAAUGCUAACUUGACGGUCAGCCUAUAGUUAUGCGAAGAACAUCGACAAGCAGCACCUGUCUUCAGUCAUACACUGCCAUGUCUUGUUCCAUUAAUCACCUAGUCCUCCUGUUAGUGACAUUCAUCUAGUAUUUUAUUUUGCAAAGCAUGCAAUGGUUUGGAGUACUUGAUCAUGGCCUGAUGGAACCUACAUGUCGUGGUUUACACAUUUACACAUUCAUGGUUUCCUCUGCUGUUUGUAAUUGUUCUGGUUAACUAUGCUAGUAGAUAUCGCGUGGGAUCUGUAGCUAGUGUCUGUUGUGCAUGUCCUCUUUGACGAGUUCAUUCAUCGGAAAAUAUUUCUUGAUAAGUUGCUUUCUGUCCAAAUGCAUACUAUUAUUUCUGAUGCUUUCUAUACUUUAGCUGGUGUCUGUUGUGACAUCUUUCUAUACUUUAGAACUACCACUUAUCAUGUUGCUUAUUUCUGAUGCUUUCUAAGUUGGUAUUAUAUUUCAGCAGUACUUGAUUCCCUUUUCAAAUUGCUGUUGCCAUGUGGUUGUCCUUCCCGUUAGUUCAUGUGAAAUUUGGAUUUUAAGAUUAUGGCUUAAUAUGUUGUCUCAUGCUGUUGAUUUCACUUGUGCAGAAUCUAUUGACUAAUCUUGACAAGUUUUGCUCUGCUGAUCGCCCAUGCUGCUGCUCUUUGUGGUCCACGACGGCGUCUGGUCCGUCGAGUCCUUCUGCAGCCGCUGCCGCUGCUCCUUCCACAGCUUGGGUGGGACUCGUCGGAUCGCCCUCCUCAUUUCCCAUUUCAGGGCUGCUAGUGAUGUAGCAAACCAAGCAGUAGCAGGCACACCAAGAAGCAGCAGGGGGAGAGUGUCUCUCGAACGUCGCCGCUGCCACUCAUUGCUACUGUCACUGAUUAAUGAUGGAUGAUCGCUGUUAGUUUAGCUCGGCCGCUGUUAGUUUAGCUCCUUGGUAGUCCCUCCCUCUCUUGCAAGCGUGUAGAAAUAGAAAUGGUAGCUGUAGUCCCAUGUAGCUGUAGUUCCUGUACUCGGUGUGCCCGUUGUUGCUUCAUUUCUAUGUUAAUUCAGUCUCUGUUGAAUGUAUCUACUGUCUACUGUUGUGGCUGUUGAAAGAAUACUUUGUGUUGAAAGAAAUGAAAUGGUUUGGAUACAUACGUACAUGCUGAGAUGUAAGCUGGAAUAGCCAUCUGCCCUUGUGAUGUCAAGCUUCUAAAUGCAUGUUGUGGAGGCCCAAAAUAGACCGGAUUGUAAAAGGGCCGAGGCCCAAAAAAGAAAUGAAUUAUAGAAGGCUACGUCCUAGAAAAUAAAAUGGGCCAGGCCCAUGAACCCAACAAAAAAUUGAUGAAAAAAACACAAAUAGGCUGAAUUAAUGGGCUCGGCCCAUGUAAAACACCGAAUCGGACCGGGCUGAAUCUUGUCAGUGACCUUUUCAAUUGGUCGCAAUUU
Long non-coding RNA from Aegilops tauschii subsp. strangulata, 2168 nucleotides. RefSeq lists it as uncharacterized. Lineage: Eukaryota; Viridiplantae; Streptophyta; Magnoliopsida; Poales; Poaceae. The record is from RefSeq and is a predicted model, not a curated record.